UACGUAGGGGGCAAGCGUUGUCCGGAAUCACUGGGCGUAAAGGGCGCGUAGGCGGCGCGGGCAGUCAACGGUGAAAGCUUGGGGCUCAACCCCGAGUCGGCCGUCGAUACUCCCGUGCUUGAGCACUGUAGAGGCAGGUGGAAUUCCGGGUGUAGCGGUGGAAUGCGUAGAGAUCAGGAAGAACACCCGUGGCUAAGGCGGCUCUCUAGUACGGUACUGACGCUGAGACGCGAAAGCGUGGGGAGCGAACAGG
This 253-nucleotide ribosomal RNA is filed under the name uncultured bacterium. Its description in RNAcentral is "partial 16S ribosomal RNA". It matches the Rfam family "Bacterial small subunit ribosomal RNA", at positions 524 to 776 of the family's 1533-position model. The record is from RNAcentral.